This 1451-nucleotide ribosomal RNA is filed under the name uncultured archaeon. RNAcentral's name for it is "bacterial SSU rRNA". It matches the Rfam family "Archaeal small subunit ribosomal RNA". The record is from RNAcentral.
UGCCGGAGGCCACUGCUGUGGGGGUCCGACUAAGCCAUGCGAGUGGUGGGCGCGCUCCGCAAGGGGCGUGGCCCCGCGCACGGCUCAGUAACACGUCGUCAACCUACCCUGGGGACGGGGAUAACCUCGGGAAACUGAGGAUAAUCCCCGAUAGGCAAGGGGUGCUGGAAUGCCCUCUUGCCCAAAACCGGCGGGUAAAACCGCACGGGCCCCAGGAUGGGACGGCGGCCUAUCAGGUAGUUGGUGGGGUAACGGCCCACCAAGCCUACGACGGGUAGCCGCCCUGAGAGGGGGAGCGGCGAGAUGGGCACUGAGACAAGGGCCCAGGCCCUACGGGGCGCAGCAGGCGCGAAACCUCCGCAAUGCCCGAAAGGGUGACGGGGGGACCCCCAGUGCCGCUGGCCUUUUGGUCGGCGGCUUUUCGGGAGUCUAAAAAGCUCCCGGAAUAAGGGCUGGGUAAGUCGGGUGCCAGCCGCCGCGGUAAUACCCGCAGCCCAAGUGGUGGCCGCUAUUAUUGGGCCUAAAGCGCUCGUAGCCGGAUCGGCAAGUCCCCCGUGAAAUCGGCCAGUCGACUGGUCGGCGCGCGGGGGAUACUGCCGGUCUAGGGGCCGGGAGACGCCAGGGGUACUCCGGGGGUAGGGGUGAAAUCCUGUAAUCCCCGGGGGACCACCGGUGGCGGAGGCGCCUGGCGAGAACGGACCCGACGGUGAGGGGCGAAGGCUGGGGGAGCGAAGGGGAUUAGAUACCCCCGUAGUCCCAGCAGUAAAGGAUGCGGGCUAGGUGCUGGGCGUCCUUAGGGGGCGCUCGGUGCCGUAGGGAAGCCGUUAAGCCCGCCGCCUGGGAAGUACGGCCGCAAGGCUGAAACUUAAAGGAAUUGGCGGGGGAGCACCACAACGGGUGGCUCCUGCGGUUCAAUUGGAUUCAACGCCGGACACCUCACCAGGGGCGACGGCUGGAUGAAGGCCAGGCUGAAGACCUUGCCGGACUAGCCGAGAGGUGGUGCAUGGCCGUCGUCAGCUCGUACCGUGAGGCGUCCUCUUAAGUGAGGCAACGAGCGAGACCCGCGCCCCUAGUUGCCAUCGGUGUGAAGCCGGGCACUCUAGGGGGACCGCUGGCGCUAAGCCAGAGGAAGGAGCGGGCGACGGUAGGUCAGUAUGCCCCGAAUCCCCUGGGCCACACGCGGGAGACAAUGGGCGGGACAAUGGGAUGCGACCCCGAAAGGGGAAGCCAAUCCCCUAAACCCGCCCGUAGUUCGGAUCGAGGGCUGCAACUCGCCCUCGUGAAGCUGGAAUCCGUAGUAAUCGCGGGCCAACACCCCGCGGUGAAUAUGUCCCUGCUCCUUGCACACACCGCCCGUCAAGCCACCCGAGCGGGGUCCAAGUGAGGCCCAUCCACGUUGGGUGGGUCGAACUUGGGCUCUGUGAGGGGGGCUAAGUCGUAACAAGGUAGCC